Molecule: ribosomal RNA, 242 nt
Filed under: uncultured bacterium
Lineage: Bacteria
Description: partial 16S ribosomal RNA
Rfam family: Bacterial small subunit ribosomal RNA
Source: RNAcentral
CAAGCGUUGUUCGGAAUUACUGGGCGUAAAGGGCUCGUAGGCGGCCAACUAAGUCAGACGUGAAAUCCCCAGGCUCAACCUGGGAACUGCGUCUGAUACUGGAUGGCUUGAAUCCGGGAGGGGGAUGCAGAAUUCCAGGUGUAGCGGUGAAAUGCGUAGAUAUCUGGAGGAAUACCGGUGGCGAAGGCGGCAUCCUGGACCGGCAUUGACGCUGAGGAGCGAAAGCUAGGGGAGCAAACGGG